Molecule: long non-coding RNA, 1813 nt
Filed under: Homo sapiens (human)
Lineage: Eukaryota; Metazoa; Chordata; Mammalia; Primates; Hominidae
Description: HSALNT0021548
Source: RNAcentral
CCCACCCCUCCUCACCUUGUUGCGGCCACUUCUCAUCGUUUUUGAAAAGCUUAUGUUUUCACUGCUGAGCCCUGAGCCAUCACCUCUGUGCUCCUGUGCUUCCCCCAGUGGGGCUGGGGUCGACUCCGGGACAUGCGCGACAGAAGGGCCUCACUCCUUCGCCCAGACUGGAGAGCAAUGGUGCUAUCCGGGCUUGAAACGCCAGGCUCAAGUGAUCCUCCCAUCUCAGCCUCCCAAGAAGCUGGGACUACAGGCAUGCAUCACCAUGCCUGGCUAAUUUGUUGUUGUUGUAAAGACAGGGUCUCCCUAUGUGGCAUAGGCAUGCUGGUCUCAAAUGCCUGGGCUUGUGCAGUUAUCGCUCCUUGGCCUCUCAAAGUGUUGGGAUUACAGGUGUGAACCACCAUGCCCAGCCAUUUCUUUUUUCUCUUCUUUCUUUGCUCACAGACUUAUCUGGCUGUCAUUUCAACUGGCAAUUCUAAGUAGAUGGCUCCAAUAGGACUUUUAUCCCCCAGCUUCCUCAAACUCCAGGUCUGCAUUUUUAGCAGCUCCCCCAAUGCCGAAGAUGCACCCCACAUCCCAUCAUCCAAACUCAAACUCUCCUUCCUCCACAUUUCCCAAACCAGCCACCACCACCUCCUGACUCCUGACAUCAUCCUGUUACCAUGGUUUCUAAGAUCUUUACCAUCCCCUCACAUUUAUGGUCACGUUUCCUGGUUAAAAACUCAACAUGGCCCUGUGAAUGCAAAGUCCCUGUGGAUCCAAGUAAAACGGAUCCACCAGGACUAGUCUUCAAAAUCAAUAGCCACCAUUCUGUGCAGGAAUCCAUUGCCAGGUGGAAUGCUUGGGCCUUCAUGUCCUCUGGAUUCUAGAGUCUAAAGGGAAGGGCAGGCUUUUAUAGACUCUGCUCGACAUUUGCUGAAGAUUGGGAGCUCCUCAGGGAAUGACUCAGCCCUCCUUGGGCAAAACAGAUAAUAAAUCAGACAAAAUCAGUUCUUUUAUGAGCAACUUGCUAUUGCUGGGUCACUCACUCUAUGCUAAAUGACCCUCUGGGAAGAGUUUCUAUGUUCAUAGUCCUCUGAGACAACAACUACUUUGUGAUGACAGCAGUUAAUGGAUGUUUGAAUCAAAGACAGAGAGAGAUAUAGGGUAAGGGCUAAGGUUAGGGUCCAGGGUCAAGGGCAGUGGCCAGCAUCACGGGGAGGAUUGGGGUCAGGAGGCCACGUGUGAAUGGCUGGAAGCCAUCCUGCUCCCUGCAAGGACAAACCUAUGCCAAAACUGUUCUCAUCUUCAGCCUCUCUUGCUACCAGGAACACCUGACCUCUCACUGCUUCACACCUCACACCCUCCUUCCCAACCCAGAACGACAGCCAUUGUCACCAAGGCCCUCGUGGCAGUACCUGCUGAACCCAGGACUGGCUGUAGGACGCGGAAUGGGGCAAGUAAAGAACCUUCCUUGGAAAUGAAAAUACUUCGUCCUGUCCUGUUCUUCCGAAAACAGAACCUUCCCCGACUCUGCCCUGCCACCUCCCAGAAUCAGAGGACCUGGGUUUCAGCCCCAUUUCUCACUGACCAGCUACAGAACUUACUACAAGAUAACAAGCCCUUUUUGUGUCCUGGUUUCUUCACCUGAAAACAAAACUCGUAAAAUGUUCCCUGCUCACUGUACAGGAUUGAUGUAAUGACGAUAAUGUGCUUGUGUGAAAGCAGUUCACUGUUGACAAGUCACUCUCGUUACAUCAUCUACUUGGAUCUUUACAAACCACCGUGUCAGAUAGGCAAGGAGAGCAUUUGAUACUCUUUUAUGGAUGAAGAA